Molecule: ribosomal RNA, 253 nt
Filed under: uncultured bacterium
Lineage: Bacteria
Description: partial 16S ribosomal RNA
Rfam family: Bacterial small subunit ribosomal RNA
Source: RNAcentral
CACGUAGGGUGCGAGCGUUGUCCGGAAUUAUUGGGCGUAAAGAGCUCGUAGGCGGUCUGUCGCGUCGGCUGUGAAAACCCGGGGCUCAACUCCGGGCCUGCAGUCGAUACGGGCAGACUAGAGUUCGGUAGGGGAGACUGGAAUUCCUGGUGUAGCGGUGAAAUGCGCAGAUAUCAGGAGGAACACCGGUGGCGAAGGCGGGUCUCUGGGCCGAAACUGACGCUGAGGAGCGAAAGCGUGGGGAGCGAACAGG